CAACAAACAAGUUGAGGUCCUGGGUCCACUGGCCCCCAUCAGUGACACGGGCCUCAGCAAGUCCUGCCCAUCAAACCAGACAGACCACUCACUCUCUGCUCAUCCUUGAGUGGGCGUUAAAGUCACAUGAUAGCUGGAAACUUCUGCCUGCCUUGGAUUGUUGCUGUUGGAACUGGACCUGGAAGGGCUGCUUCCCCAGAACCUCAGAUUUGUUGGGAAUAACUGCCCCGCCUUCAGUGAUGUCAGUGGGCAGCUGGAAAUCAGCCUCCAUAGCAUUAUUGACACCAUGGAAAGUGGCUACCAAUCAGGGGAGGCUGUGUGCCCUGCCCUUGGAAGUGGACAGCCCUCAGGGUUCCUUUCUGCGGCACCCAGUGGGGCCCCCAGGUUCUGAUCCUGCUAUUGCUGUCCUGAGCUGGGUA
Long non-coding RNA from Mustela erminea (ermine), 419 nucleotides. RefSeq lists it as uncharacterized. The transcript has 3 exons. NCBI's taxonomy places the organism in Eukaryota, Metazoa, Chordata, Mammalia, Carnivora, Mustelidae. The record is from RefSeq and is a predicted model, not a curated record.